Molecule: ribosomal RNA, 443 nt
Filed under: uncultured bacterium
Lineage: Bacteria
Description: partial 16S ribosomal RNA
Rfam family: Bacterial small subunit ribosomal RNA
Source: RNAcentral
CCUACGGGUGGCAGCAGUGGGGGAUAUUGGACAAUGGGGGAAACCCUGAUCCAGCGACGCCGCGUGAGUGAAGAAGUCUUUCUGUAUGUAAAGCUCUGUUAGCAGGGAAGUAAGAAAUGCCGGUACCUGACCAAGAAGCCCCGGCUAACUACGUGCCAGCAGCCGCGGUAAUACGUAGGGGGCAAGCGUUAUCCGGAAGUACUGGGUGUAAAGGGAGCGUAGACGGUGAUGCAAGUCUGGAGUGAAAGUCGGGGGCUCAACCCCCGGACUGCAGUGGAAACUGUGUGACUUGAGUGCAGGAGAGGUAGGCGGAAUUCGUGGUGUAGCGGUGAAAUGCGUAGAUAUUAGGAAGAACACCGGUGGCGAAGGCGGCUUACUGGACUGUAACUGACGCUGAGGCUCGAAAGCGUGGGGAGCAAACAGGAUUAGAUACCCGUGUAGUC